RNAcentral lists this unclassified non-coding RNA (201 nucleotides) under plant metagenome. RNAcentral's name for it is "partial contains small subunit ribosomal RNA, internal transcribed spacer 1, and 5.8S ribosomal RNA". The record is from RNAcentral.
UCUCCGUUGGCGAACCAGCGGAGGGAUCAUUAUCGAGUUUAUAACUCCCAAACCCUAUGUGAACUUACCACUUGUUGCUUCGGCGCGCGCUUCGGUGCCGCCGAGGACACUUAAACUCUUUGUUUUUAUAAGCAUUUCUGAGUGGCCGAAAGGCAAAAUACAAAUGAAUCAAAACUUUCAACAACGGAUCUCUUGGUUCUG